GACGAACGCUGGCGGCGUGCUUAACACAUGCAAGUCGUACGGUAAGGCCCUUUCUGGGGUACACGCUUGGCGAACGGGUGAGUAACACGUGCGUAACCUGCCCACAACUUUGGGAUAACGCUAGGAAACUGGUGCUAAUACUGGAUAUGUGCUCCUGCUGCAUGGUUGGGGUUGGAAAGCUCCGGCGGUUGUGGAUGGACUCGCGGCCUAUCAGCUUGUUGGUGGGGUAGUGGCCUACCAAGGCGGCGACGGGUAGCCGGCCUGAGAGGGUGACCGGCCACAAUGGGACUGGGAUACGGCCCAGACUCCUAAGGGAGGCAGCAGUGGGGAAUAAUGCACAAUGGGCGCAAGCCUGAAUCAGCAACGCCGCGUGCGGGAUGACGGCCUUCGGGUUGUAAAACGCGUUCAGCAGGGACGAAGCUGUUUGUGACGGUACCUGCAGAAGAAGCACCGGCUAACUACGUG
This 465-nucleotide ribosomal RNA is filed under the name uncultured bacterium. RNAcentral describes it as "partial 16S ribosomal RNA". It matches the Rfam family "Bacterial small subunit ribosomal RNA", at positions 28 to 507 of the family's 1533-position model. The record is from RNAcentral.